Andrographis paniculata is the source of this 680-nucleotide long non-coding RNA. RefSeq lists it as uncharacterized. The record is from RefSeq and is a predicted model, not a curated record. NCBI's taxonomy places the organism in Eukaryota, Viridiplantae, Streptophyta, Magnoliopsida, Lamiales, Acanthaceae. The transcript is spliced from 5 exons.
UCGUUACGACCAUAUCUACGACAUCAACCGCCGUCGAAUCGCCUGCCGGGUUCAACGUGGCGAAUAGGUAGUUGAUUGUGCUGUAUUACCAGCAGGCGAAGAUGUCCAAGAAAUUUAACCAGAAGGAGGAUGAGAUUCAGAAAGUUCCGGAGAGAUAUCUUGGUACCUUUCUUGGCCAAUCCUUGCUUGAGCUCUUCAAGAGUUAUCGUACCACUGCUGUCGGUAUCCAUCCCUUUGAACAUCUCUUUCAAUCCCAUGAUUUCUUCCUCCGACAGGCAUCCGGCGAUAACCUGUAAAAUUCCCCGACCAGUAACUUCGCCGAAGAAUAGCCUAUUCAGAACAGCAUUGUCUAUAGGAGUAUCGGGCGCCUCGCCAUCCUCCUUGAUCCAUGGAUGAUCUUAGAAACACGAAAAACCAAGAACUCAGCGACGACAAGAAACCAUCUUGUCGGAAAUUAGAUUGUACCUGCCCAGAAUGGAGGAACUCCGCUGAGUAAGAUGUACAGCAUCACGCCGAUACUCCAAAUAUCAACCUCUGGCGAUCGUUGGAAUCGCGAACCUUCUUUGUAGAACACGGAGAGCCCGAAAUCUGUGGCCUUGAGAGGCGAAUUCUCAUCCUUAUUGAGCAGCAAGAAAUUCUCGGGCUUAAGAUCUCUGUGAAUGACUCCCAUGGAAUGACAG